RNAcentral lists this transfer RNA (76 nucleotides) under Candidatus Obscuribacterales bacterium. Its description in RNAcentral is "tRNA-Met". It matches the Rfam family "tRNA". Rfam says of the family: Transfer RNA (tRNA) molecules are approximately 80 nucleotides in length. Their secondary structure includes four short double-helical elements and three loops (D, anti-codon, and T loops). Lineage: Bacteria; Bacillati; Candidatus Melainabacteria; Candidatus Obscuribacterales. The record is from RNAcentral. RNAcentral also lists the same sequence under 1 other name.
CGCAGAGUGGUGUAAUGGCUAACACGUUAGCCUCAUAAGCUGAAGACUGCCGGUUCGACUCCGGCCUCUGCGCCCA